Octopus sinensis (East Asian common octopus) is the source of this 1391-nucleotide long non-coding RNA. RefSeq lists it as uncharacterized. The transcript is spliced from 3 exons. The record is from RefSeq and is a predicted model, not a curated record. NCBI's taxonomy places the organism in Eukaryota, Metazoa, Mollusca, Cephalopoda, Octopoda, Octopodidae.
AUUAAAAGGCAAGUUGUCUGUCUGUGUAUGUGUUGUGUGAACCACUUCUACUCCUACAAUUUUCAACUGAAUUUCACUAAAUUUGACAUGUGAGCUCUCUUUGACUUAAGACGUUUUUUCUUAUAAUUUUUUCCUCGAAAUUCUGCACCCCUAACAAAGAUAGACUACUCUCAAUUCACCUAUGAUUUGGCUUGAGCCAGCAAAAAAACAUGACACACACUCAGCUGGAAAAAAAUCAAUAUUUUACUUUCUCAGCUGUGGCAAGCUCUUAUCGACUGCUUGCACAGUACUGCCAGCAGUAUUCAUUUGUGAGUUACGAUUUGCCUCUGUUUUCAUGUGAGCACUCUUUUUCAAAUAAUUAUUCUGACUUGAACUUGCCACUUCGAAACUCUUACCCAAAAUUAAAAAUCUUUAAUUCAGUCUGUUUAACAUUUUUGCCAACUACGUUUUACUAUUUUUUGGGUGCUUUUUCCUUAGGACUUUUACUAUUGCAUAAACUGAUAAUUUUCCACCAUGCCUCAAUGCAAAAGAUCCAAUAUAGGUCAGCAAACAAAUGCUGCAAAGAAAAGUAAACAUAUGCGUGCAAAUGAAUCUGCUGAGGAUGCUGCCAGGAGGAAUUCUCUCAAUGCACUUAGGAUGGCUUCAACACAAUGAAGGGAAAGUGAAGAGCAGUGUUGUGAUCGGUUAGCACAUAUUGCUGCGCAACAAGCUGCCCAGAACAAUGAGCAAUGUUCAGCAAACCGAACAAGAAAUGCUUCCUCUACUACUGCUGCACAAGCUUCAGAGACUGCAGUACAAUGAGCAGAUUGACUUACAAGAGAUGCUUCCUCAACUGCUGUUGCACGAGCUGCAGCAUAAUGCACAGAUCAACUUCCAAGAGAUGCUGCGCUCGCUACAGAGACUACAGGGGAAAGUCAACAACGGAUGUUGCUCUAUGUGGCAAACAGGAAAACAUCAGAUAUCAAUUGACUGAAAGGAACAUUCUAAGGAAGUGCUCAUACUAAAUGGUUAGAUCAUACCUGACAACAUUUGCUGGAGACAGUUGAAAUAUGGAAAGAUGCAGAUUUGUUCAGGACAUCAAAAUGACAAUCAGAGAUCCAUUAACAUGAUGAGAAGAGUAAUACAGAUCCCAACCACACUAAUAAAAAAGAAAAAAAUUAUCAGACAUGAAUAAAACAUAUACUUGUAUAUAUAAAAUAAAUCGUUUCUGAAAAUAAGCUUUCAAUGAACUGGUUCAAAGAAAAUUGAAUAAGACUUUGAUAAGAGGAUCGAGUAACUUGACCAAUGCCAAAUUAUGAGGAGACUAAAUGAAGUAGCGAAAAUAAAUUAUUACACAAUCCAAUAGUGACAAUUUUGGUUUUUUCCCCGUCUUUGUACAGUAGUAUUAUUGU